ACGUUAGCGGCGGACGGGUGAGUAACACGUGGGUAACCUACCUAUAAGACUGGGAUAACUCUGGGAAACCGGGGCUAAUACCGGAUAACACAUGAAACCGCAUGGUUUCAUGAUGAAAGACGGUUUUGCUGUCACUUAUAGAUGGACCCGCGGCGUAUUAGCUAGUUGGUAAGGUAACGGCUUACCAAGGCAACGAUACGUAGCCGACCUGAGAGGGUGAUCGGCCACACUGGAACUGAGACACGGUCCAG
RNAcentral lists this ribosomal RNA (251 nucleotides) under uncultured Staphylococcus sp. Its description in RNAcentral is "partial 16S ribosomal RNA". It matches the Rfam family "Bacterial small subunit ribosomal RNA", at positions 89 to 334 of the family's 1533-position model. The record is from RNAcentral. Lineage: Bacteria; Bacillati; Bacillota; Bacilli; Caryophanales; Staphylococcaceae.